Molecule: ribosomal RNA, 723 nt
Filed under: uncultured Pseudomonadales bacterium
Lineage: Bacteria; Pseudomonadati; Pseudomonadota; Gammaproteobacteria; Pseudomonadales
Description: bacterial SSU rRNA
Rfam family: Bacterial small subunit ribosomal RNA
Source: RNAcentral
UCGAGCGGGGAAGAGUAGCUUGCUACUUUACCUAGCGGCGGACGGGUGAGUAAUGCUUAGGAAUCUGCCUAUUAGUGGGGGACAACAUCUCGAAAGGGAUGCUAAUACCGCAUACGUCCUACGGGAGAAAGCAGGUGACCUUCGGGCCUUGCGCUAAUAGAUGAGCCUAAGUCGGAUUAGCUAGUUGGUGGGGUAAAGGCCUACCAAGGCGACGAUCUGUAGCGGGUCUGAGAGGAUGAUCCGCCACACUGGGACUGAGACACGGCCCAGACUCCUACGGGAGGCAGCAGUGGGGAAUAUUGGACAAUGGGGGGAACCCUGAUCCAGCCAUGCCGCGUGUGUGAAGAAGGCCUUUUGGUUGUAAAGCACUUUAAGCGAGGAGGAGGCUACCGAGAUUGAUACUCUUGGAUAGUGGACGUUACUCGCAGAAUAAGCACCGGCUAACUCUGUGCCAGCAGCCGCGGUAAUACAGAGGGUGCAAGCGUUAAUCGGAUUUACUGGGCGUAAAGCGCGCGUAGGUGGCCAAUUAAGUCAAAUGUGAAAUCCCCGAGCUUAACUUGGGAAUUGCAUUCGAUACUGGUUGGCUAGAGUAUGGGAGAGGAUGGUAGAAUUCCAGGUGUAGCGGUGAAAUGCGUAGAGAUCUGGAGGAAUACCGAUGGCGAAGGCAGCCAUCUGGCCUAAUACUGACACUGAGGUGCGAAAGCAUGGGGAGCAAACAGGAUU